Molecule: ribosomal RNA, 497 nt
Filed under: uncultured bacterium
Lineage: Bacteria
Description: partial 16S ribosomal RNA
Rfam family: Bacterial small subunit ribosomal RNA
Source: RNAcentral
GAUGAACGCUGGCGGCGUGCCUAAUACAUGCAAGUCGAGCGAACAGACGAGGAGCUUGCUCCUCUGACGUUAGCGGCGGACGGGUGAGUAACACGUGGAUAACCUACCUAUAAGACUGGGAUAACUUCGGGAAACCGGAGCUAAUACCGGAUAAUAUAUUGAACCGCAUGGUUCAAUAGUGAAAGACGGUUUUGCUGUCACUUAUAGAUGGAUCCGAGCCGCAUUAGCUAGUUGGUAAGGUAACGGCUUACCAAGGCAACGAUGCGUAGCCGACCUGAGAGGGUGAUCGGCCACACUGGAACUGAGACACGGUCCAGACUCCUACGGGAGGCAGCAGUAGGGAAUCUUCCGCAAUGGGCGAAAGCCUGACGGAGCAACGCCGCGUGAGUGAUGAAGGUCUUCGGAUCGUAAAACUCUGUUAUUAGGGAAGAACGAAUGUGUGAGUAACUAUGCACGUCUUGACGGUACCUAAUCAGAAAGCCACGGCUAACUACGUG